This 887-nucleotide ribosomal RNA is filed under the name uncultured Candidatus Poseidoniales archaeon. Its description in RNAcentral is "SSU rRNA". It matches the Rfam family "Archaeal small subunit ribosomal RNA", at positions 13 to 906 of the family's 1478-position model. Lineage: Archaea; Methanobacteriati; Thermoplasmatota; Candidatus Poseidoniia; Candidatus Poseidoniales. The record is from RNAcentral.
CCCGCCGGAGGCGACCGCUGUGGGAGUCCGAUUAAGCCAUGCGAGUCGAGAGAAUAAGAUUCUCGGCAUACCGCUCAGUAACACGUGGAUAACCUGCCCUAUGCUGGGGAAUAACCUCGGGAAACUGAGAAUAAUGCCCCAUAGUUCACUACGCCUGGAACGGUGAGUGGAUGAAAGCUCCGGCGGCAUAGGAUGGGCCUGCGGCGUAUCAGGUCGUAGGGGGUGUAACGUACCCUCUAGCCAUCGACGCGUACGGGUGUUGGGAGACAUAGCCCGGAGAUGGAUUCUGAGACACGAAUCCAGGCCCUACGGGGCGCAGCAGGCGCGAAAACUUGACAAUGCGAGAAAUCGUGAUCAGGGGACUCCAGUUGGCUGGAUCAAAAGUCCAGUCUGAACCGACUUUAAAUCGGUCGGGUAAUAGGGGCGGGAAAGACCGGUGCCAGCCGCCGCGGUAAUACCGGCGCCCCAAGUGGUCGUCACUAUUAUUGGGCCUAAAACGUCCGUAGCCGGUUUGGUAAAUCCGUGGGUAAAUCAGACAGCCCAACUGUCUGAAUUCUGCGGGGACUGCCAGACUUGAGACCGGGAGAGGUGCGGGGUACCUGCGGGGUACCGGUAAAAUGGGAUCAUCCCGUAGGGACCACCUGUUGCGAAGGCGCCGCACUAGAACGGAUCUGACGGUCAGGGACGAAGCCUAGGGGCACGAACCGGAUUAGAUACCCGGGUAGUCCUAGGUGUAAACGCUGUGGACUUGGUGUCGGGGACCUUCUGAGGGUUUCCGGUGCCGGAGUGAAGAUGUUAAGUCCACUGCCUGGGGAGUACGGUCGCAAGGCUGAGACUUAAAGGAAUUGGCGGGGGAGCACCGCAACGAGAGGAGCGUGCGGUUUAAU